CCUGCAUUUUCGCCGCCUUCACAGCUUUCUGGUAUGUGGCUAGAUUGUCCCUUGAUAAACCCAGUGAUACAUGUAAUUUGUCCUUCUUCCACCUUUGUUCAGCUUGUCUGCAGUGUUGCCUAAAGGCCCAUGUGAAGUCAUUUAGCCAGGUGUAGGUUUAA
This is a long non-coding RNA of Etheostoma spectabile (orangethroat darter), 161 nucleotides long. RefSeq lists it as uncharacterized. The transcript is spliced from 3 exons. The record is from RefSeq and is a predicted model, not a curated record. Lineage: Eukaryota; Metazoa; Chordata; Actinopteri; Perciformes; Percidae.